GAUGAACGCUAGCGGCAGGCCUAACACAUGCAAGUCGAGGGGUAGCAGGAUUAAGCUUGCUUAAUUGCUGACGACCGGCGCACGGGUGUGUAACGCGUAUGCAACCUACCUUAUACUGGGGUAUAGCCCGGGGAAAUUCGGAUUAAUCCCCCAUAGUACUAAUGAAUCGCAUGGUUUAUUAGUUAAAGCAUUGCGGUAUAAGAUGGGCAUGCGUCCUAUUAGCUAGAUGGUGAGGUAACGGCUCACCAUGGCUACGAUAGGUAGGGGGCCUGAGAGGGUGGUCCCCCACACUGGUACUGAGACACGGACCAGACUCCUACGGGAGGCAGCAGUGAGGAAUAUUGGUCAAUGGGCGCAAGCCUGAACCAGCCAUGCCGCGUGCAGGAAGAAUGCCCUAUGGGUUGUAAACUGCUUUUAUUUGGGAAUAAACCUCUUUACGUGUAGAGAGCUGAAGGUACCAAAUGAAUAAGCACCGGCUAACUCCGUGCCAGCAGCCGCAGUAA
This 503-nucleotide ribosomal RNA is filed under the name uncultured bacterium. Its description in RNAcentral is "partial 16S ribosomal RNA". It matches the Rfam family "Bacterial small subunit ribosomal RNA", at positions 28 to 523 of the family's 1533-position model. The record is from RNAcentral.